GCGCAGGGAGCCUCGGGGCGCAGAGACCACAGCGCAGGGAGCACGACAUGUCUCCCAGGUGUCAGGUGGUGCUGCAACCUCAUCGGGGGCUGCAGUUGCAGCCCUUUCUGCGCUGACGCUGGCAGUGAGCACUUCCUUCUGGUCUGGGAGGCGUGACAGGUGCAGCUCACCUGCAGCCUCCCUAACAGGUGCAGUUACCCCUGCAGCCUCUCUGACAGGUCCUGCUCACCUGCAGCCUCCUGGGGGUGGAGGUGGGCUACUUUUUCCCUUGCUGCAUUCUGGGUCAGUUUGGUUUCUGUAGAUUUGAUUGGAAGCUCGGUGAGGACAGGUGGCCUCUCUGCUUUGCUUCCCGAUGUCGUCUCCAGGUCAGGCCCUCAAUGUUUCCCUGCAGCCACUCUAGCUGCAGCCUGCAGCAGCCCCCAGUGAUCCAGGGGACCCCCUGCCCCGGGACAGCGUCCAGCGCAAUGCCUCCAGCCUGUCUCUGAGCCUUGCUAAAGGGCUCCUUCCAGCACCCAACAGGACUGACAAACUCCUGUCCUCAACCCUGCUCUCCUGAUCUUUUCUGACAUGACAUUAAAACUUUUGCAGAACUCGGUGAAUAAAUUCACACCCUUUCUCCUACAUGGGACACACUUCCAGGGGUGUGACUCUCCCUGGCAUCGAGGGAUUGAGAAAGACUUCUUGACCGAAAGGGGGAAAAGAAAUGCAAGAAUAUAAAGUUUUAGUGGCUGAGAGAUUUCAAAUAGAGUUGAGAGGUCACUCUGGAGGUUACUCUUAUGCAAGCUUCAGCUGGAUAUUGCAAAUUGCCGCUAUAGGCCAAGCUCCAAGCCACAGUGUUCCCUAAAACCAUCAAGAAUACCCAGGGCUCUAUCUAAGUCUCUAUAAAAGUUUUACUUAUCGGGUUUAUUUUUUCAGAAACCUAAAGUCUCCAGAUGGCUCCUAUGCCAGAUAAGCCCUGAAACCCAAGGUCCCAGUCUCUCCAAGAACAUCAACCAGGUUCAUUCCUCCACCCCAUAAGGUCAACACCCCGUUUUCAGUACAAAGAAGUUAGAAUGGUCAUUGCCCAGCUUUCCCUGAAGACAUAGAAUGUUCAGAUGAGACGGAGGAGGGGUAACUGAGAAAUUGGAUUUGAUGAAUAGUUAUGACUGACUCAUUAUACAGACAUUUCUUUUUAGUUUCUAGUGUAUCAGAAUAGCCAGAAGGAAAUUCCUGAAACUGUUGCGCUGUCCCCCAGUACCCUUGAUCUAAUGAUUGCAGAACUACACGCUCUCACCAUGUGACUGUGACCGUGAGAACCCCGGGACGCCCCCUUUGUCCACUGUAUGGGUAGACGAGUAAUAAAAUAAUGACAUGCAUGAAAACAGGAA
Molecule: long non-coding RNA, 1367 nt
Organism: Choloepus didactylus (southern two-toed sloth)
Lineage: Eukaryota; Metazoa; Chordata; Mammalia; Pilosa; Megalonychidae
Exons: 2
Source: RefSeq, a predicted model, not a curated record